Molecule: ribosomal RNA, 486 nt
Filed under: uncultured Pimelobacter sp.
Lineage: Bacteria; Bacillati; Actinomycetota; Actinomycetes; Propionibacteriales; Nocardioidaceae
Description: bacterial SSU rRNA
Rfam family: Bacterial small subunit ribosomal RNA
Source: RNAcentral
GUAGUUGACUCCGUGGCUCGAGGACGACGCUGGCGGCGUGCUUAACACAUGCAAGUCGAGCGGAAAGGCUCCUUCGGGGGUACUCGAGCGGCGAACGGGUGAGUAACACGUGAGUAAUCUGCCCUGGACUCUGGGAUAGCCACCGGAAACGGUGAUUAAUACCGGAUAGGACCACUUCACGCAUGUGAUGGUGGUGGAAAGUUUUUUCGGUCCAGGAUGUGCUCGCGGCCUAUCAGCUUGUUGGUGAGGUAAUGGCUCACCAAGGCUUUGACGGGUAACCGGCCUGAGAGGGUGACCGGUCACACUGGGACUGAGACACGGCCCAGACUCCUACGGGAGGCAGCAGUGGGGAAUAUUGGACAAUGGGCGGAAGCCUGAUCCAGCAACGCCGCGUGAGGGAUGACGGCCUUCGGGUUGUAAACCUCUUUCAGUACCGACGAAGCGAAAGUGACGGUAGGUACAGAAGAAGGACCGGCCAACUACGUA